UACGAAGGACCCGAGCGUUAUCCGGAUUUAUUGGGUUUAAAGGGUGCGUAGGCGGACUAGCAAGUCAGUGGUGAAAUCUCUCUGCUCAACAGAGAAACUGCCAUUGAAACUACUUGUCUUGAGUACAUUUGAGGCGGGCGGAAUGUGUCAUGUAGAGGUGAAAUUCUUAGAUAUGACACAGAACACCAAUUGCGAAGGCAGCUCGCUAAACUGUAACUGACGCUGAGGCACGAAAGCGUGGGGAUCAAACAGG
This 253-nucleotide ribosomal RNA is filed under the name uncultured bacterium. RNAcentral describes it as "partial 16S ribosomal RNA". It matches the Rfam family "Bacterial small subunit ribosomal RNA", at positions 524 to 776 of the family's 1533-position model. The record is from RNAcentral.